AACGUAGUGGCACAGUGGUUUGAGUGUUGGACUAUGACUCUGGAGACCAGAGUUCGAUUCCCAGCUCGGCCA
RNAcentral lists this transfer RNA (72 nucleotides) under Phrynosoma platyrhinos (Desert horned lizard). RNAcentral's name for it is "tRNA-OTHER". Lineage: Eukaryota; Metazoa; Chordata; Lepidosauria; Squamata; Phrynosomatidae. The record is from RNAcentral.